GAUGAAGAACGUAGCGAAAUGCGAUAAGUAGUGUGAAUUGCAGAAUUCCGUGAAUCAUCGAAUCUUUGAACGCACAUUGCGCCUUCUGGUAUUCCGGAAGGCAUGCCUGUUCGAGAGUCAUUAACAACCGUUUCGAUCCCUUUCUUUCAGAAAUUACAAAGAGGAAAAGGGUUUGGUUAUGGUGGAGGAGGGAAAGGGAGCGUUUAGCCUGUAAAAAAAGAGGCUGUGUUCCGCCUCCCCCCCAAAAUUGUACAGGCGGUCGUGUGCGCCCACGCAUCGAGGUGUUGUAAAAGCUGCCACGGCACUUUUCACCUGUGCAGUGCGAGAUUGGCCAGCCGGUUUAAAAACCCCUCCAAACAAUCAAUGGUUGACCUCGGAUCAGGUAGGGAUACCCGCUGAACUUAAGCAUAUCAUAAGCGGAGGA
RNAcentral lists this unclassified non-coding RNA (424 nucleotides) under soil metagenome. Its description in RNAcentral is "partial contains 5.8S ribosomal RNA, internal transcribed spacer 2, and large subunit ribosomal RNA". The stretch from base 1 to 120 matches the Rfam family "5.8S ribosomal RNA", at positions 35 to 154 of the family's 154-position model. The record is from RNAcentral.